CAGCAGCCGCGGGAAUACAGAGGAUGCAAGCGUUAAUCGGAAUUACUGGGCGUAAAGCGCGCGUAGGUGGUUUGUUAAGUUGGAUGUGAAAGCCCCGGGCUCAACCUGGGAACUGCAUCCAAAACUGGCAAGCUAGAGUACGGUAGAGGGUGGUGGAAUUUCCUGUGUAGCGGUGAAAUGCGUAGAUAUAGGAAGGAACACCAGUGGCGAAGGCGACCACCUGGACUGAUACUGACACUGAGGUGCGAAAGCGUGGGGAGCAAACAGGAUUAGAUAACCCCUGUAGUCCCUGUCUCUUAUA
RNAcentral lists this ribosomal RNA (301 nucleotides) under uncultured bacterium. Its description in RNAcentral is "partial 16S ribosomal RNA". It matches the Rfam family "Bacterial small subunit ribosomal RNA", at positions 509 to 808 of the family's 1533-position model. The record is from RNAcentral.